Molecule: long non-coding RNA, 1013 nt
Organism: Helianthus annuus (common sunflower)
Lineage: Eukaryota; Viridiplantae; Streptophyta; Magnoliopsida; Asterales; Asteraceae
Exons: 3
Source: RefSeq, a predicted model, not a curated record
CGGGUAUCUUGUGCUCAGUUGUGAACUUCCUACUAGCGAGGAUUCGUUGUAACCCGCGUGUUACAAUUCCGGUGUAGUCGUCAAAGAUGUCAACUGAAAACAAUUCCUCCCAAUUCUCUCUCAAGUCCAUCUUAGAGAAGGACAAACUGAACCACUCCAACUUCAUGGACAGGCACCGCAACUUGAAAAUUGUUCUCAAGGCGGAGAACAAACUGUAUGUUCUUGAAACGCCAGUCCCUGAUGAACCCAUCAAUCAGCAAACUGUUGCAUAUAGAAACUAUGCAAAGCACUUUGAUAACUCUAUGAAAGUCUCAUGUUUAAUUUUAGCAUCCAUGAUUCCUGAACUUCAAAGGACCAUGGAUGACAAGAUGGCAUAUGAGAUGAAUGAGCACCUGGUUGAAAUGUUCCAACAGAAGGCUCGUCAUGAGAGGUUUGAUGUGAUGAGAUCACUCAUAACCACUCGUAUGCAAGAGGGUACAUCAGUUAGCGCUCAUGUGCUAAAAAUGAAGGCAUAUGUUGAUCACUUGGCUCGUCUGGAAUCCCCCUUGAGUGAUGAAUUAGCUGGGGAUAUCAUCCUCAACUCAUUGCCUAAGUCAUAUGAUCAGUUCACUAUGAACUACAAUAUGAAUGGGAUGGAGAAGACACUUGCAGAGCUGCAUCAGAUACUCAAACUGCUAAGGUGAAUAUACCCAGCAAGACUGCACCAGUGCUGAUGAUCAAGGAGGGUCAUGUUAAGAAACCUAACACCAAGAAAAAGGGCAAUCAUGGCAAAGGGAAGGGCAAAGGCAAAAUCGUUGCAAACAAGAAGCCUCAGAAGGAUGCCAAGUGUUUUCAUUGUAAUGAAAUUGGGCACUGGAAGAGGAACUGUGCUAAGUAUUUAGCUGAACUGAAGCAAGCCAAGGCUUCAGGAGGAGAGUCCUCAGGGACUAAGAAAGAUUAAGAAGCUGAAACAAGGCGACUUGGAGGUCCAUGUUGGCAAUGGACAAAGAGUUGUUGUGAAGGCGAUUGGAGAA